This 65-nucleotide ribosomal RNA is filed under the name Serratia marcescens. RNAcentral describes it as "partial 16S ribosomal RNA". It matches the Rfam family "Bacterial small subunit ribosomal RNA", at positions 1 to 65 of the family's 1533-position model. The record is from RNAcentral. Lineage: Bacteria; Pseudomonadati; Pseudomonadota; Gammaproteobacteria; Enterobacterales; Yersiniaceae. RNAcentral also lists the same sequence under 1 other name.
UAAUUGAAGAGUUUGAUCAUGGCUCAGAUUGAACGCUGGCGGCAGGCUUAACACAUGCAAGUCGA